UCUCCCUCUCCCGUCUCCCUCUCCCUCUCCCGUCUCCCUCUCCCUCUCCCGUCUCCCUCUCCCUCUCAUGCCGAGCCAAAGCUGGACGGUACUGCUGCCAUCUCGGCUCACUGCAACCUCCCUGCCUGAUUCUCCUGCCUCAGCCUGCCGAGUGCCUGCGAUUGCAGGCGCGCGCCGCCACGCCUGACUGGUUUUCGUUUUUUUUUGGUGGAGAUGGGGUUUCGCUGUGUUGGCCGGGCUGGUCUCCAGCUCCUAACCGCGAGUGAUCCGCCAGCCUCGGCCUCCCGAGGUGCCGGGAUUGCAGAUGGAGUCUCGUUCACUCAGUGCUCAAUGGUGCCCAGGCUGGAGUGCAGUGGCGUGAUCUCGGCUCGCUACAACCACCUCCCAGCCGCCUGCCUUGGCCUCCCAAAGAGCCGAGAUUGCAGCCUCUGCCCGGCCGCCACCCCGUCUGGGAAGUGAGGAGCGUCUCUGCUUGGCCACCCAUCGUCUGGGAUAUGAGGAGCCCCUCUGCCUGGCUGCCCAGUGUGGAAAGUGAGGAGCGUCUCUGCCCGGCCGCCAUCCCAUCUAGGAAGCGAGAAGCGCCUCUUCCCCGCCGCCAUCCCAUCUAGGAAGUGAGGAGCGUCUCUGCCCGGCCGCCCAUCGUCUGAGAUGUGGGGAGCACCUCUGCCCCACCGCCCUGUCUGGGAUGUGAGGAGCGCCUCUGCUGGGCCGCAACCCUGUCUGGGAGGUGAGGAGUGUCUCUGCCCGGCCGCUCCGUCUGAGAAGUGAGGAAACCCUCUGCCUGGCAACCGCCCCGUCUGAGAAGUGAGGAGCCCCUCCGUCUGGCAACCACCCCGUCUGGGAAGUGAGGAGCGUCUCCGCCCGGCAGCCACCCCGUCCGGGAGGGAGGUGGGGGGGGUCAGCCCCCCGCCCGGCCAGCCGCCCCGUCCGGGAGGUGAGGGGCGCCUCUGCCCGGCCGCCCCUACUGGGAAGUGAGGAGCCCCUCUGCCCGGCCAGCCGCCCCGCCCAGGAGGGAGGUGGGGGGGUCAGCCCCCCGCCCGGCCAGCCGCCCCGUCCGGGAGGGG
RNAcentral lists this long non-coding RNA (1064 nucleotides) under Homo sapiens (human). RNAcentral describes it as "HSALNT0290333". The record is from RNAcentral. Lineage: Eukaryota; Metazoa; Chordata; Mammalia; Primates; Hominidae.